Molecule: ribosomal RNA, 253 nt
Filed under: uncultured bacterium
Lineage: Bacteria
Description: partial 16S ribosomal RNA
Rfam family: Bacterial small subunit ribosomal RNA
Source: RNAcentral
UACGUAGGGUGCGAGCGUUGUCCGGAAUUAUUGGGCGUAAAGGGCUCGUAGGCGGUUUGUCGCGUCGGGAGUGAAAACUCAGGGCUUAACCCUGAGCCUGCUCCCGAUACGGGCAGACUAGAGGUAUGCAGGGGAGAACGGAAUUCCUGGUGUAGCGGUGAAAUGCGCAGAUAUCAGGAGGAACACCGGUGGCGAAGGCGGUCCUCUGGGCAUUACCUGACGCUGAGGAGCGAAAGUGUGGGGAGCGAACAGG